GCCACGGUGGUGUAGCGGUUAGGACGCUGGCCUUGUAAUCCUGGGGUCUCGGGUUCGAUUCCCGGCGGUGCCC
Zootermopsis nevadensis is the source of this 73-nucleotide non-coding RNA. Lineage: Eukaryota; Metazoa; Arthropoda; Insecta; Blattodea; Termopsidae. The record is from Rfam.